RNAcentral lists this ribosomal RNA (547 nucleotides) under uncultured Verrucomicrobiota bacterium. RNAcentral describes it as "bacterial SSU rRNA". It matches the Rfam family "Bacterial small subunit ribosomal RNA", at positions 97 to 643 of the family's 1533-position model. The record is from RNAcentral. Lineage: Bacteria; Pseudomonadati; Verrucomicrobiota.
GGCGCANGGGUGAGUAACACGUGAAUUACAUGCCCUUGAGAGGGGGAUAGCCCAGGGAAACUUGGAUUAAUACCCUAUGGUCUCGCAAGAGUAAGGGUGGCCGCAAGGCUGUCGCUCAAGGAUUGGUUCGCGCCCUAUCAGCUUGUUGGUGAGGUAAUGGCUCACCAAGGCUACGACGGGUACCUGGUUUGAGAGAAUGAUCAGGCACACUGGAACUGAGACACGGUCCAGACACCUACGGGUGGCAGCAGUCGAGAAUAAUUCACAAUGGGGGCAACCCUGAUGGUGCAACGCCGCGUGGAGGAUGAAGGUCUUCGGAUUGUAAACUCCUGUCAUCUGGGAGUAAGACCUGGCCGUGAAUAGCGGACAGGGUUGAUAGUACCAGAAGAGGAAGGGACGGCUAACUUCGUGCCAGCAGCCGCGGUAAUACGAAGGUCCCGAGCGUUGUUCGGAAUCACUGGGCGUAAAGGGAGCGUAGGCGGUGCGGUAAGUCAGAUGUGAAAUCCCGGGGCUCAACCCCGGAACUGCAUCCGAUACUGCCGUGCUA